GGGGCUAUAGCUUAGUGGCAAAGUACCUGCCUGGCAUGCAUGAAGCACUGGGUUCAAUCCUCAGCACCACCU
This is a non-coding RNA of Ictidomys tridecemlineatus (thirteen-lined ground squirrel), 72 nucleotides long. The record is from Rfam. NCBI's taxonomy places the organism in Eukaryota, Metazoa, Chordata, Mammalia, Rodentia, Sciuridae.